CUGAGCACAAUUGUGUGUGGGUCAAAGAUUAUAGACACCUGAGGUUUUCCAGAACCCUUCCUGGUUUGUUCUGGUGUCGGAUCAACAUGCCCUCUUGGCAGGGAUUGUUAUUCUAGGAACAUUUAAGAUGCCGUCACGGAGAAGACCACCACCAGGAGCAGGCUGAGAUCUCCUGACACCAGCUUCGCUGACUAAGAUUCCCUGAAAGAAAGAAGAAUGUGUGUUUGCCCCAACCCUGACCCUUAUCUGAGAUGCUGUUUUUUCUCCUUUUAGGCUCUGAAACUCCCCUCGGUUCUUCCCCAAAGGAGGGCACAGUCUUGAAGGCAUUAGCCUGCUGUGGCUGCCUUGUCUGGCGAAGCAGUAAAGCUGUUUUUUUCUCCUUCACCCCAAUCUUUGUCUCUGAGUUUCUAUUUGGCACCGAGUUUUAGCAACAAAUUUAGGGGGCUUAUCCGGGAUCGACUUGUGGGCAGCUGGCCCUGUGGGGCCCGUAGGCUUGAUAGGACAUUUUGGGUUUCUCUCCAUGCCAGUCUCCUUUGGGAGAAUGGAGGGUUGGAAGAUGCCUCCAGAGGGAUCCCUGCCAUAGGACCGUGCCCUAGUCAUACCCGGCCUGCCAUCUCCGUGGUGGGAGCUCCAGGAUAGGAGCAGAAGACAGGAGACAGACCAUCCUAGCAGCUGCCGAGGCCAUAUUCGUCUUAAGUUGCUCUCUCCUUUCUGCCCACAUUGCCCCGAACCUCCUACUCGGAGAUAUUAUUUUGGGGAAGGAAAAAAGUAACAUCUGGGACAUCGAGCCACCUCUGCCAGUGUCUAGGGCCCCUGCACUGGACUGGUCCAUAGAGAGGACUGCUGACCUCAAAACCAUCUUAAAACAGUGCUCACGUGGAGGAGAAACUACACCAGGAUGAGAGAUGACGACAUCAGGAGUAGACAGUAGAUGCUGGACCUGAGUAGUAACAGCACUUCUGGUCUUCAGAAUAACAUCUUCAGGGAAAGCAUAUGGAAUUCAAUCUGUUGUGUGAAUAUUUUCAGUUAGAGAAGAGUGCUGAUAAGAAUCCUAAAUGCCUUGCGGUGGAACAGAGGCCCUGCAUGAUCUGGCUUCUUUCAACCGCUCCAACCCACGCUGCUGUCCUCUCCAGCCCCUCCAGCCUCCUGCAUGUUCCUCAAGCACUACCCCAAGCUGCCUCCCCUGAGGACCUUCGCACCUGCUGAUGUGUCUACCUGAAAGCCUCUUCCUGUGGCUGAAGUCUUCUCAUCUUUGGGGCUGUAGCUCAAAUAUUCCACCUCUAAGCAUCCUUCACCCCAGCUGGGGAGUCACUGAGAAUGUGAGACUCUGAUGAGGAUCCAAAGUGAUGGAAGCAUGAAACACUGGAAGAAGCCUCAUUCUUCUGGCUCCUCGUGCACCACUUCUGCCGUAACUGAUGCCAAUCUAAUUUCAGCCUGGUGGACGUACCCUCUCUACGAAGCCUGCCCUGAUCUGAGACUUAGUCAUGCUUCCUGGUGUAUGACCACAGCAGGGACUGGAAACUCUCGUGGACCUGAGUGUUACUGGAGCUUUUGUGCAUCUGAAGAUAGUCAUCACUGCUGAGCAGACUGCCUGGGCUGGGUCAGGCAAAGAAGUGAGAAUUAAUAUCAGGUCCUUGACACUGAAGAUACUCCAGCUCUGUGAUCAUGGAACCCCACAAGGGCUGAGACAAACGCACCAUCAAAGUACAAGUGUCUCCAGCUGUGGUACCCUGCUUUGCCAUGUUGCAAAAUCAUUUUGUAUUAAUAGCAUUUUAUGCUUCUUGGUCCAUUUACAAAUUAUUUUGCAUGGCACAAAUAAAUACAUAAAUGAAGCAUUUAUGUUUCAUUUUCCAAAUGUUUUCUUUUAAUGCCGUCUUCUAUUUUUCUCUAAAUCCCAUCCACUUAGAAAAUAUAUGGUCAAAGUAAAUUUAUUCUGCUUUUAUUCUAAUAAUCUGGUGGGCGGCACAGAAGUUAUUGUUAAGCAUUAAGUCAAACAACUAAUAAUGCUUGAGAAUAGCUCAAAUUCCAGCAUUCCAUGCUUAACUGGUGAACAGAAGCCUUGAUAUUCUGGAGCCUUAUCUGUCUUUUUGGUUAAAAAUAAAGAUAGUUGUGAGACUUACAGUGAUGGAAACAAUGAGAAUGAUACUUCUGAAAGAAUUUUAAAGCAGGAAGUGACUUUCCAAGACCUUGCAGUCUGGGGGUACAUUUUCGAGUGUGUGCAUGUGGCCAUGAAGGAGGUGGUUGGUGAGCUACUAUUAUUCUGCUUGUUGUGAAGUCAGUUUAUUCACCUGAGAGGCAUGGAGAAGAUGGAUGUUGCCAUGUAUUUCACAACUAGGACACCCGGGGCUGGAACAUCUGUUUCCUUCUCAGCUCCCGGGAGCAGCAGCCACAGGGAUGGCAGAGCUGGGCCACAGGACAUGCCCGUGAGAAGCUAGCUCUGCCCUGGCUGACUCACUGUGCGGCAGCAGAACAGGGCCUGGACCCCAGAUCUCCUGGUUCCUGACCAGCGUUCUCUAAAUCACAACCUUUGACCGAGGUUUUCUUUUGCUCUGAGGCAUGGACAAAAUCCUUGGAAAUAUAUAUAUAUAUACACCUUUUUUUUUUUUUUUGCUUUUUUUUUUU
Molecule: non-coding RNA, 2622 nt
Organism: Sus scrofa (pig)
Lineage: Eukaryota; Metazoa; Chordata; Mammalia; Artiodactyla; Suidae
Source: RefSeq, a predicted model, not a curated record